GAGGAAUAUUGGACAAUGGGCGGGAGCCUGAUCCAGCCAUGCCGCGUGCAGGAAGACCGCCCUAUGGGUCGUAAACUGCUUUUGUACGGGAAGAACCGGGGGCACGCGUGCCCUCCUGACGGUACCGUAAGAAUAAGGAUCGGCUAACUCCGUGCCAGCAGCCGCGGUAAUACGGAGGAUCCGAGCGUUAUCCGGAAUCAUUGGGUUUAAAGGGUCCGUAGGCGGGCCGUUAAGUCAGGGGUGAAAGUCUGCGGCUCAACCGUAGCACUGCCCUUGAUACUGGCGGCCUGGAGUUAUGGUGAAGUGGCCAGAAUAUGUGGUGUAGCGGUGAAAUGCAUAGAUAUCACAUGGAAUACCGAUUGCGAAGGCAGGCCACUAACCAUAUACUGACGCUGAUGGACGAAAGCGUGGGGAGCGAAC
RNAcentral lists this ribosomal RNA (420 nucleotides) under uncultured bacterium. RNAcentral describes it as "bacterial SSU rRNA". It matches the Rfam family "Bacterial small subunit ribosomal RNA", at positions 356 to 773 of the family's 1533-position model. The record is from RNAcentral.